This is a non-coding RNA of Ictidomys tridecemlineatus (thirteen-lined ground squirrel), 73 nucleotides long. The record is from the annotation of a RefSeq genome assembly. NCBI's taxonomy places the organism in Eukaryota, Metazoa, Chordata, Mammalia, Rodentia, Sciuridae.
GGGGAUAUAGCUCAGUUGGUAAAGUGCUUGUCUUGCACACAUAAGGCCCUGGGUUCAAUCCCCAGUACCACCA